AUACCAAUCUUUACGUUCGAAAAAGUGGAUUUCCCUCAUUUGAAUUUUAAUGCUCAAUCUUUUCCAGCUUAUACAGGAGGAGUGUUGGAUCCACCGCCAGAAGAAUGUCAAGAUAUAGAGAGGCUUCAUGCGGGAGUGAUAGUCGGGUAUAACGGCGACGAAUUACUUAUGCGGAACUCUUGGGGGACGGAUUGGGGUGAGAAUGGUAACUUUUGGAUUAAAGCUGGAGUAUGUGGGCUUGGAAACGAAACGUAUGCAGUAUCCGAGUGGAGGAAUUUGGCGGUUUAAGUUUGGUUGAGAGGACAUCAAGAAAAUAGCGUGAUCCAUGAAUUUGUGCUUGUCUCUUCUCUAUGGUCAAAGGGAGCGUUGUGUUGCUGCAAUACCUCACUCUAACUUAAGUGCCGCUGUUUAAGUGUUUAAUCAUAACCGUGACUAAAAAUUUAGAAAUAAGUAUGAAAGAAAUAAAAAGAUUAAAUUAUGAAAAUAAGAUCAUGGUACUCACCGCUUUAAUUCAGUCGCUUUUUUUACAUUACUAGAACGAAAAAUAAUUGGCUACUCUCAAUCACGUAAAGGACCAAAUAAGGCUUUAAUUAUAGGGAUUACUCAACCUUUUGCAGAUGCCGUAAAAUUAAUCAAUAAAGAGAUAAAUUUAAAUUAUAAUUCAAACUUUAAUAUUUAUAUGCUAGCGCCAGCUCUUAACAUUGUCUCUUCCCUAGUAACAUGAAUUAUUUUCCCGUUUAAUUAUUCAUUCAGUUUUAUGAAAAUAUCGGUGUUGAUAGUAUUAAGAUGUAUGGCAUUUAAUGUAGUAACUAUUAUAAUAAUAAGAUGAUCAUCAAAUUCAAACUAUGCUUUUAUCGGAAUAAUCCGAACAAUUUCACAACUGAUUUCAUAUGAAAUUAACUUGAUUUUGAUUUAAUUACAGUGAUUGUUAUUACAGAAAAUAUAAAUUUUUUAUAAUAAAUAAAGUUCAAAAUAUGUAACUGUUUUAACAAUGUUGUUUCCUCUGGUGAUAAUUUGAGUAUCCACAAUCUUAGCAGAAACUAAUCGAACCCCUUUCGAUUUUUCAGAAGGAGAAUCAGAAUUAAUUUCAGGUUUAAUAUUGAAUAUAGAAGAACUGGAUUUAUAAUACUCUUCCUCUCAGAAUAUUGUAGAAUUUUGAUUAUAAGAUUAAUAACUGUUUGUAUAUUUUUAAUGGUAGAUCACCGUCAGCCGGUAACGCAAUAGUCAACGAUGCUGAUAAUGGUCGAA
Molecule: long non-coding RNA, 1248 nt
Filed under: Bemisia tabaci
Lineage: Eukaryota; Metazoa; Arthropoda; Insecta; Hemiptera; Aleyrodidae
Description: lncRNA ENSSSA3NGG005672
Source: RNAcentral